UUUAAGUGUAACUAUAAGUUUACACGUGUAAUUUUGAUCGUCCGUUUUAUUUAAAAUAUUUUUACAAUUAGUAUUUUUGUUGUUAUGAGAUGAUAAAACAUGAAUAGUACUUUACUCGUGACUUAUAUUUUUAAUUUUUUUCAAAUAAGACGACGAUCGAAGUUGGGCGCGGAAAACCAUGGCUGCACUUAAA
Oryza glaberrima (African rice) is the source of this 193-nucleotide non-coding RNA. Lineage: Eukaryota; Viridiplantae; Streptophyta; Magnoliopsida; Poales; Poaceae. The record is from Rfam.